Molecule: ribosomal RNA, 433 nt
Filed under: uncultured bacterium
Lineage: Bacteria
Description: partial 16S ribosomal RNA
Rfam family: Bacterial small subunit ribosomal RNA
Source: RNAcentral
AACGAACGCUGGCGGCAUGCCUAACACAUGCAAGUCGAACGAGACCUUCGGGUCUAGUGGCGCACGGGUGCGUAACGCGUGGGAACCUGCCCUUAGGUUCGGAAUAACUCCCCGAAAGGGGUGCUAAUACCGGAUAAUGUCUUCGGACCAAAGAUUUAUCGCCUUUGGAUGGGCCCGCGUUGGAUUAGCUAGUUGGUAGGGUAAAAGCCUACCAAGGCGACGAUCCAUAGCUGGUCUGAGAGGAUGAUCAGCCACACUGGGACUGAGACACGGCCCAGACUCCUACGGGAGGCAGCAGUGGGGAAUAUUGGAAAAUGGGCGAAAGCAUGAUCCAACAAUGCCGCGUGAGUGAUGAAGGCCUUAGGGUUGUAAAGCUCUUUUACCCGGGAUGAUAAUGACAGUACCGGGAGAAUAAGCUCCGGCUAACUCCGUG